Molecule: long non-coding RNA, 426 nt
Organism: Myotis davidii
Lineage: Eukaryota; Metazoa; Chordata; Mammalia; Chiroptera; Vespertilionidae
Exons: 4
Source: RefSeq, a predicted model, not a curated record
AGUCCCAAGUCUAUUUCUGGGUCAGACCAGUAGAGCAGGAGGAUCGAGGUUGGUCUCCUCAAGGUGUGAGCUCUGAUUCCUUGAGAAGAUGGUGGAAGGAAAACAUGGCUCAUUCGCCCUCUCUCUGGGAAUGGGUCGUGUAACUCUGAAUUUUCAGGCAAAGGGGCCUGUUGCCUUUGUGCUAGCCAUGGGCACAAUACUAGUAUACGGAAUGGUAGUCGCAAUAGGACUCCUGUUAUGCUGAAAUAAGGCCAGCGAAUACAAGACUCAGAAAAUCCAUUGACAGGAAUCCUUUCCAAUCUCCUGGCCGGAAGGAGAAGGCUCCACCUUCUUGGGGAAUGUGUGAAGCAACACGCUAUACACAGUUUAAUUUUGAUUAUGAACAAAGUCAACUUUUGAGCAAAAUAAAAAUUAAUUAAAUACACA